UAAAGAUUUAAUCGGUGAUGGAUGGGGAUGCGUCUGAUUAGCUUGUUGGCGGGGUAACGGCCCACCAAGGCGACGAUCAGUAGGGGUUCUGAGAGGAAGGUCCCCCACAUUGGAACUGAGACACGGUCCAAACUCCUACGGGAGGCAGCAGUGAGGAAUAUUGGUCAAUGGGCGAGAGCCUGAACCAGCCAAGUAGCGUGCAGGAUGAUGGCCCUAUGGGUUGUAAACUGCUUUUAUAAGGGAAUAAAGUGAGUCUCGUGAGACUUUUUGCAUGUACCUUAUGAAUAAGGACCGGCUAAUUCCGUGCCAGCAGCCGCGGUAAUACGGAAGGUCCGGGCGUUAUCCGGAUUUAUUGGGUUUAAAGGGAGCGUAGGCCGGAGAUUAAGCGUGUUGUGAAAUGUAGACGCUCAACGUCUGCACUGCAGCGCGAACUGGUUUCCUUGAGUACGCACAAAGUGGGCGGAAUUCGUGGUGUAGCGGUGAAAUGCUUAGAUAUCACGAAGAACUCCGAUUGCGAAGGCAGCUCACUGGAGCGCAACUGACGCUGAAGCUCGAAAGUGCGGGUAUCGAACAGGAUUAGAUACCCUGGUAGUCCGCACGGUAAACGAUGGAUGCCCGCUGUUGGUCUGAAUAGGUCAGCGGCCAAGCGAAAGCAUUAAGCAUCCCACCUGGGGAGUAC
This 679-nucleotide ribosomal RNA is filed under the name uncultured bacterium. RNAcentral describes it as "bacterial SSU rRNA". It matches the Rfam family "Bacterial small subunit ribosomal RNA", at positions 202 to 883 of the family's 1533-position model. The record is from RNAcentral.